Molecule: non-coding RNA, 46 nt
Organism: Schistosoma mansoni
Lineage: Eukaryota; Metazoa; Platyhelminthes; Trematoda; Strigeidida; Schistosomatidae
Source: Rfam
ACACUACUGAGGAGUUCCAUACUAGGACGAGACAGCUGUCUAGUGU